RNAcentral lists this ribosomal RNA (113 nucleotides) under uncultured bacterium. RNAcentral's name for it is "partial 16S ribosomal RNA". It matches the Rfam family "Bacterial small subunit ribosomal RNA", at positions 400 to 508 of the family's 1533-position model. The record is from RNAcentral.
CGUGAAGGAUGAAGGCCGUUCUGGGUUGUAAACUUCUUUUACCUGGGAAGAAACCCCGAUUUUCUAAUCCGGGUUGACGGUACCAGAGGAAUAAGCACCGGCUAACUCCGUGC